GUGGAGCAUGUGGCUUAAUUUGACUCAACGCGGGGAAUCUUACUAGGUCAGGACCAUCGAUGCGCGAGUUCGCGUCGUACGUAUGAAUGUCGUAGUGUCGCUACUACACAAUUGUUGGAUGAGUGGUGCAUGGCCGUUCUUAGUUCGUGAUGCAAUUUGUCUACUUAAUUGUUGGUACCGUUGUUUCAUCGCAAUGGUACCGCAACGAACGAGACCGUGUUGCGACAUUAUCGUACGUAUACAGAGCAACCGCAAACUUGUUAGGAAGGACACGGCAAUAACAGGUCUGUGAUGCCCUCAGAUGUUCUAGGCCGCACACGUGCUACAAUCUGAUUGUCGCCACGUAUGCAUGUAAGAUUCACCGCUGCGAGUCGAACUAAUCUACGACGGUUGGGAUCACCGUUUGUAAUUAUUCGGUAUCACAACUAGGAAUGCCUCGUACGGUGCAGUUCAACAGAUUCCCUGGAAUCCGUCCCUGCCCUUUGUACACACCGCCCGUCGCUCUUACCGAUGGUGGUGGGUUUGAGUUGCGAGGCGUCUUGUCACACCCGUGGCGAGGUAAAUCGCUACGAGAACCCACUGCUAAAGGAAAGAGAAGUCGUAACAAGGCAUCG
Molecule: ribosomal RNA, 614 nt
Filed under: Amphistegina lessonii
Lineage: Eukaryota; Foraminifera; Rotaliida; Amphisteginidae
Description: SSU rRNA
Rfam family: Eukaryotic small subunit ribosomal RNA
Source: RNAcentral